UGAGGAAUAUUGCACAAUGGGGGGAACCCUGAUGCAGCAACGCCGCGUGAGUGAAGAAGGUUUUCGGAUUGUAAAGCUCUGUUAGCAGGGAAGAGGAAGGACGGUACCUGCAGAGAAAGCCACGGCUAACUACGUGCCAGCAGCCGCGGUAAUACGUAGGUGGCAAGCGUUGUUCGGAAUAACUGGGCGUAAAGGAUGCGUAGGCGGUUAUAUAAGUUAUGUUGUUAAAUAUACAGGCUUAACCUGUAGAAAGCGGAUAAAACUGUAUGACUUGAGUGCAGGAGAGGUAAGUGGAAUUUCUAGUGUAGCGGUGAAAUGCGUAGAGAUUAGGAAGAACACCAGUGGCGAAGGCGACUUACUGGACUGUAACUGACGCUGAGGCAUGAGAGCAUGGGGAGCAAACAGG
Molecule: ribosomal RNA, 406 nt
Filed under: uncultured bacterium
Lineage: Bacteria
Description: bacterial SSU rRNA
Rfam family: Bacterial small subunit ribosomal RNA
Source: RNAcentral